AAGGAUCAUUAAUGAAUUUAGAUUGAACCAUAGGCGAAAGCCAGUGGUUCUUCUUUCAUAUCCAUAACACCUGUGCACUGUUGGAUGCUUGCAUCCACUUUUAAACUAAACAUUAUUGUAACAAAUGUAGUCUUAUUAUAACAUAAUAAAACUUUCAACAACGGAUCUCUUGGCUCUC
RNAcentral lists this unclassified non-coding RNA (178 nucleotides) under uncultured fungus. Its description in RNAcentral is "partial contains 5.8S ribosomal RNA, internal transcribed spacer 2, and large subunit ribosomal RNA". Lineage: Eukaryota; Fungi. The record is from RNAcentral.